Molecule: ribosomal RNA, 253 nt
Filed under: uncultured prokaryote
Description: partial 16S ribosomal RNA
Rfam family: Bacterial small subunit ribosomal RNA
Source: RNAcentral
GACAGAGGAUGCAAGCGUUAUCCGGAAUGAUUGGGCGUAAAGCGUCUGUAGGUGGUUUGUUAAGUCUGCUGUUAAAGUCUAGGGCUUAACCCUGGGAAAGCAGUGGAUACUACCAAGCUUGAGUACGGUAGGGGUAAAGGGAAUUUCCGGUGGAGCGGUGAAAUGCGUAGAUAUCGGAAAGAACACCGAGGGCGAAAGCACUUUACUGGGCCGAUACUGACACUGAGAGACGAAAGCUAAGGGAGCAAAUGGG